UCGCGGGAUGGAGCAGUCUGGUAGCUCGUCGGGCCCAUAACCCGAAGGUCGUAGGUUCAAAUCCUGCUCCCGCAA
Molecule: transfer RNA, 75 nt
Filed under: Leuconostoc kimchii IMSNU 11154
Lineage: Bacteria; Bacillati; Bacillota; Bacilli; Lactobacillales; Lactobacillaceae
Description: tRNA-Met
Rfam family: tRNA
About the family: Transfer RNA (tRNA) molecules are approximately 80 nucleotides in length. Their secondary structure includes four short double-helical elements and three loops (D, anti-codon, and T loops). Further hydrogen bonds mediate the characteristic L-shaped molecular structure. tRNAs have two regions of fundamental functional importance: the anti-codon, which is responsible for specific mRNA codon recognition, and the 3' end, to which the tRNAs corresponding amino acid is attached (by aminoacyl-tRNA synthetases). tRNAs cope with the degeneracy of the genetic code in two manners: having more than one tRNA (with a specific anti-codon) for a particular amino acid; and 'wobble' base-pairing, i.e. permitting non-standard base-pairing at the 3rd anti-codon position.
Source: RNAcentral